This 417-nucleotide ribosomal RNA is filed under the name uncultured bacterium. RNAcentral describes it as "partial 16S ribosomal RNA". It matches the Rfam family "Bacterial small subunit ribosomal RNA", at positions 360 to 774 of the family's 1533-position model. The record is from RNAcentral.
AAUAUUUGACAAUGGGUGCAAGCCUUUUCCAGCCAUCCCGCGUGACGGAUUAAGGUCCUAUGGAUUGUAAACUUCUUUUAUACAGGGAUAAACCUCUCCUCGUUAGCAGAUCUGAUGUUACUGUAUGAAUAAGCACCGGCUAACUCCGUGCCAGCAGCCGCGGUAAUACGGAGGGUGCAAGCGUUAUCCGGAUUUAUUGGUUUUAAAGGGUCCGUAGGCGGGCCGAUAAGUCAGUGGUGAAAUCUCGCAGCUUAACUGUGAAACUGCCAUUGAUACUGUUGAUCUUGAGUAAAUUUGAAGUGGCUGGAAUAAGUAGUGUAGCGGUGAAAUGCAUAGAUAUUACUUAGAACACCAAUUGCGAAGGCAGGUCACUAAGAUUUAACUGACGCUGAUGGACGAAAGCGUGGGUAGCGAACA